Long non-coding RNA from Capsicum annuum, 431 nucleotides. RefSeq lists it as uncharacterized. The transcript is spliced from 3 exons. The record is from RefSeq and is a predicted model, not a curated record. Lineage: Eukaryota; Viridiplantae; Streptophyta; Magnoliopsida; Solanales; Solanaceae.
UACUUCUUGGUUUUGUCCGUCUGGUGAUGUCCAGUUUUCCAUUGAAAGUUUACUGUGAAAAUUAAAGCUUAAUUUGCUUCUUUAUUUCUUUUCAAAGCUUCUUUGUUGUUCCAAGCUACAUUUAUGGAUAUUUAUGAUUUUGUUUCUGGAUUACGCCCAAAGGAUGAGCUAUUUUUGAGCUCUUUUUGUUGAGGUAAAAAAUUAAUUCUAUCUGGAUUUAUAAUCUUGAAAUUCCCGUUGAAGUUCUACAUUAUUCUCCAAAGGCUUGAUUGUCUAGAUCCAAGGAGACAGAAAAAGAGAGUUGGGAAACUACCUGCCAUUUACUCAUAACAAUGCUGGAGAUUGCUGAAAGUCAGCUGAGUCAGAAUUAUCUUCUUAGUCUCAAGUUUUGAACUCAAAAGAGGCUAGAUUGAUGGCAGCCAAAGAAGAGG